This 242-nucleotide ribosomal RNA is filed under the name uncultured bacterium. Its description in RNAcentral is "partial 16S ribosomal RNA". It matches the Rfam family "Bacterial small subunit ribosomal RNA", at positions 29 to 252 of the family's 1533-position model. The record is from RNAcentral.
AACGAACGCUGGCGGUGUGCCUCAUACAUGCAAGUCGUACGCGAAUCCUGCCGCAAGGCAGGGUUUGAGUGGCAAACGGGUGCGUAACACGUAGGUAAUCUUCCUUUGAGUUGGGGAUAAGCCCUCGAAAGGGGGUCUAAUACCGAAUAACACUUCGGGCCGGGCAUCGGCCUGAAAUUAAAGAUGGCCUCUGCUUGCAAGCUAUCGCUCGGAGAUGAGCCUGCGGCCGAUUAGUUAGUUGG